This 460-nucleotide ribosomal RNA is filed under the name uncultured bacterium. Its description in RNAcentral is "bacterial SSU rRNA". It matches the Rfam family "Bacterial small subunit ribosomal RNA", at positions 339 to 796 of the family's 1533-position model. The record is from RNAcentral.
GUACGGAAGGCAGCAGUAAGGAAUAUUGGACAAUGGCCGCAAGGCUGAUCCAGCCAUGCCGCGUGCAGGAAGAAGGCGCUAUGCGUCGUAAACUGCUUUUACACCGGAGAAAACCCUCUUUCGUGAAAGAGGCUGAUAGUAUGGUGAGAAUAAGCAUCGGCUAACUUAGUGCCAGCAGCCGCGGUAAGACGAAGGAUGCAAGCGUUAUCCGGAUUCAUUGGGUUUAAAGGGAGCGUAGGUGGUCUUAUAAGUCAGUGGUGAAAUCUCGCAGCUUAACUGCGAAACUGCCAUUGAUACUGUAGGACUUGAGUAUAGUUGCUGUGGGCGGAAUAUGACAUGUAGUGGUGAAAUACUUAGAGAUGUCAUAGAACACCGAUUGCGAAGGCAGCUCACAAAACUAUAACUGACACUGAGGCUCGAAAGUGCGGGGAUCAAACAGGAUUAGAUACCCUAGUAGUCA